RNAcentral lists this ribosomal RNA (253 nucleotides) under uncultured bacterium. RNAcentral describes it as "partial 16S ribosomal RNA". It matches the Rfam family "Bacterial small subunit ribosomal RNA", at positions 524 to 776 of the family's 1533-position model. The record is from RNAcentral.
GACAGAGGGGGCAAGCGUUGUUCGGAAUCAUUGGGCUUAAAGCGCGCGUAGGCGGCCUUGUAAGUGUCUAGUGAAAUCCCACGGCUCAGCCGUGGAACUGCAGGGCAAACUGCAAGACUUGAGGUCGGUAGAGGCGCCUGGAACUCUAGGUGGAGCGGUGAAAUGCGUAGAUAUCUAGGGGAACGCAGGAGGCGAAAGCGGGGCGCUGGGCCGAUUCUGACGCUGAUGCGCGAAAGCGUGGGGAGCAAACAGG